GAUGCAACGCGAAGAACCUUACCUGGUCUUGACAUCCACGGAAGUUUUCAGAGAUGAGAAUGUGCCUUCGGGAACCGUGAGACAGGUGCUGCAUGGCUGUCGUCAGCUCGUGUUGUGAAAUGUUGGGUUAAGUCCCGCAACGAGCGCAACCCUUAUCCUUUGUUGCCAGCGGUCCGGCCGGGAACUCAAAGGAGACUGCCAGUGAUAAACUGGAGGAAGGUGGGGAUGACGUCAAGUCAUCAUGGCCCUUACGACCAGGGCUACACACGUGCUACAAUGGCGCAUACAAAGAGAAGCGAUCUCGCGAGAGCAAGCGGACCUCAUAAAGUGCGUCGUAGUCCGGAUUGGAGUCUGCAACUCGACUCCAUGAAGUCGGAAUCGCUAGUAAUCGUGGAUCAGAAUGCCACGGUGAAUACGUUCCCGGGCCUUGUACACACCGCCCGUCACACCAUGGGAGUGGGUUGCAAAAGAAGUAGGUAGCUUAACCUUCGGGAGG
This 496-nucleotide ribosomal RNA is filed under the name uncultured Escherichia sp. Its description in RNAcentral is "bacterial SSU rRNA". It matches the Rfam family "Bacterial small subunit ribosomal RNA", at positions 953 to 1449 of the family's 1533-position model. The record is from RNAcentral. Lineage: Bacteria; Pseudomonadati; Pseudomonadota; Gammaproteobacteria; Enterobacterales; Enterobacteriaceae.